This 477-nucleotide non-coding RNA is filed under the name Pan troglodytes (chimpanzee). Lineage: Eukaryota; Metazoa; Chordata; Mammalia; Primates; Hominidae. The record is from RNAcentral.
GUCUACAAUCGAGGAGACAGAGGCUCAAGCAGGGCAAGUCCUCUACCCAAGGGCACACAGCCCAGAGCGGGGAGGAUGGAGCCUGGUCAGCCUGGUCUGGUUAAUAAGGUCUUUUCAGGGUUGUGCAAGGCCCCCUACCUGCCCCUGACCAACUUGCCACAUUGAAAAGUGUGUGCUUGGCUUAUCCAACACCACCUUGCCACAUUGAAAAGUGUGUGCUUGGCUUAUCCAACACCACCUUGUUGUCUAUACAACUACAGCAAGGAGCAUGGAGAGGUUUAGAAGAACCCUUGCCCUCCUUCAUUCAUUCUGCCUUGACUCAGCCCUGAGCUCUGCAAAGAUGCAUGCUCAGCACAAAUACAUCUUCACAUCUUAGUCCAAAUUCUGGAAAGUCUGAAUGCUCAUAACCAGUGUGUUUUGCUGAGAAAACGGGCUGAUGACAAGUCAGCCUACUCUGUCCCUGUACACGUGUGGCCU